UUCCAUUUUUCCCAUAUUUCUGGCUCAGCCGCGCUUCUUGCUAGCAGGAGGAAGUAGAUGGAUGCUCCUGGGAGGUGAUGCGAAGUUUGCGAGUCUGUUUUCCAUGAAGAAUCUCACUUAAGGUAUUGGAAGAAUCUUAUUAAAGGCUGUCUUCAUGCUGACUCAUGUUUCCUAACGGGGCUCUCCGACACAAUAACCCACAGCACUGAGAACUUGUAACUUCCCUGCACAGCAGAGCUCACAAAGUAGAUGUAUACAGACUACAGUAUUUACAGGAAUAAUCUAUUUC
Molecule: long non-coding RNA, 289 nt
Filed under: Phasianus colchicus (ring-necked pheasant)
Lineage: Eukaryota; Metazoa; Chordata; Aves; Galliformes; Phasianidae
Description: lncRNA (ENSPCLG00000012783.1)
Source: RNAcentral